RNAcentral lists this ribosomal RNA (279 nucleotides) under uncultured bacterium. Its description in RNAcentral is "partial 16S ribosomal RNA". It matches the Rfam family "Bacterial small subunit ribosomal RNA", at positions 506 to 784 of the family's 1533-position model. The record is from RNAcentral.
UGCCAGCAUCCGCUGUACUACUAAUUGGGCGAUCGUUGUUCGGAAUUACUGGGCGUAAAGCGUACGUAGGCGGUUUUGCAAGUUAGGCGUGAAAGCCCAGGGCUCAACCUUGGAACUGCGUUUAAAACUGCAAAACUAGAAUCUCGGAGAGGAUAGCGGAAUUUCCAGUGUAGAGGCGAAAUUCGUAGAUAUUGGAAGGAACACCAGUUGCGUAGGCGGCUAUCUGGACGAGUAUUGACGCUGAGGCACGAAAGCGUGGGGAGCGAACAGGAUUAGAUA